This 534-nucleotide ribosomal RNA is filed under the name Alisma lanceolatum. RNAcentral describes it as "eukaryotic LSU rRNA". The stretch from base 394 to 534 matches the Rfam family "Eukaryotic large subunit ribosomal RNA", at positions 1 to 141 of the family's 3401-position model. The record is from RNAcentral. Lineage: Eukaryota; Viridiplantae; Streptophyta; Magnoliopsida; Alismatales; Alismataceae.
UGCAGAAUCCCGUGAACCAUCGAGUCUUUGAACGCAAGUUGCGCCCGGAGCCUCUGGCCGAGGGCACGCCUGCUUGGGCGUCACGCCUCUAGGCGCUCCCCUCCCACUUGAGUUCAGCAGCUUGAUGCUGGCCUUGCUGGGGGUGGAUGCGGAUAUUGGCCUUCCGUGGCUUCACGCCGCGGUGGGCUGAAGGAUGUGGAGUCGGUCCGUCCAACGUUAUUGGGCAUGACUGUGCUGGGUCGCUGCUGCUACUGCUCGUUGCUCGUUGGGUGCGGCAGUCUUAGCAAAUGCGGGCAUCGUCGUUGUGCCGAGUAGCCUUGUUGUCGGACUCUCACGCCAGUAAAGUUACCACGACGGGUAUAUCAGCGGUCACACCGUUGGUUCCUCAUGUAGCGACCCCAAGUCAGGCGGGAACACCCGCUGAGUUUAAGCAUAUUAAUAAGCGGAGGAGAAGAAACUUACAAGGAUUCCCCUAGUAACGGCGAGCGAACCGGGAAAUGCCCAGCUUGAAAAUCGGAAGGCUUCGCCCUCCGA